This 771-nucleotide long non-coding RNA is filed under the name Triticum aestivum (bread wheat). RNAcentral's name for it is "long non-coding RNA (TAES_LNC023077)". The record is from RNAcentral. Lineage: Eukaryota; Viridiplantae; Streptophyta; Magnoliopsida; Poales; Poaceae.
CCUCCUCCAUCACCGAUAUGUGCCCCUGUUUCAACCUCACGUCACCGGCCGACCUCCUUCAGCGCCACCGGGAAUGGCUCACACCCUCCUCCCUCAUGCCCACGGAUCGACGCUUGCCCAACGCCCAGUUCAUCAAGAUCUUCACCACAUGGUAUGUCUCUCUUGCGCCUCACCUGCGAUACAUCGGCAUCUGUCACCACCUGGUCCUGAGAUUUCCGUCAUGGGAUGUGUGCAGGCAGUGGUACAAAGAUAAAUUGUGGGACGUGAAGCAGCUGGUGAGUUCCGGGGGAUGCCACCGUCGCAUCAAACGUCUUUCCGCUUACAGGAAGGUUUCAGAUGCUCCCUCUUCGCCACCACUCCAUCUCCAGUAUAGUAGCUAAUUAUAAAUUUAUAAGUCAAGACUAAAGUUUUCAUAGGAAUUUGAAGACUGCACGUCUUGGUUCAGUUAUUGAUUAUACAGGACAUAGGGAAACAGCAAGUGCCUUAAACAACCUGCUAAAAUCUUGAUUACAUAGCCAUGGUGGUGAUAUUGUCUGGCUAUGAAGAUCAAGGACGGAGCCAGAUUUGGAGCAUGUUCUGGGCUGGUGAUUGUAAAUUUGCUUUGUGACAUUAAGCAACACAUUUUCUCUCUUAUCUCUAAUACAUCUUUACUGGUCUUAUAAGCGAUACUGCAGGGUUACCACUUACCAUGAUACAUGAUUUCCACAGAAACACAAAUACAGGAGUAUAUUUGUUCUAGGACAGAGUGAAUUAUGAGGAGGAGACAUAACA